RNAcentral lists this ribosomal RNA (460 nucleotides) under uncultured bacterium. RNAcentral describes it as "partial 16S ribosomal RNA". It matches the Rfam family "Bacterial small subunit ribosomal RNA", at positions 338 to 795 of the family's 1533-position model. The record is from RNAcentral.
CCUACGGGGUGCAGCAGUGAGGAAUAUUGGUCAAUGGACGGAAGCCUGAACCAGCCAAGUAGCGUGCAGGAUGACGGCCCUACGGGUUGUAAACUGCUUUUAUACGGGAAUAACGCGCCUUACGUGUAGGGCUUUGCAUGUACCGUAUGAAUAAGGACCGGCUAAUUCCGUGCCAGCAGCCGCGGUAAUACGGAAGGUCCGGGCGUUAUCCGGAUUUAUUGGGUUUAAAGGGAGCGUAGGCGGCAUGUCAAGCGUGCGGUGAAAUGUCCGGGCUCAACCCGGGCCUUGCCGCGAGUACUGGCGGGCUUGAGUAUGCUGACGGCAGGCGGAAUGCGUGGUGUAGCGGUGAAAUGCUUAGAUAUGACGCAGAACCCCGAUUGCGAAGGCAGCUUGCUGAAGCAGAACUGACGCUGAUGCUCGAAAGCGCGGGUAUCGAACAGGAUUAGAUACCCGGGUAGUC